RNAcentral lists this ribosomal RNA (407 nucleotides) under uncultured bacterium. RNAcentral describes it as "bacterial SSU rRNA". It matches the Rfam family "Bacterial small subunit ribosomal RNA", at positions 354 to 776 of the family's 1533-position model. The record is from RNAcentral.
GUGGGGAAUAUUGGGCAAUGGGCGCAAGUCUGACCCAGCAACGCCGCGUGAAGGAUGAAGGCCUUCGGGUUGUAAACCUCUUUUAAGGGGGAAGAACAGAAGACGGUACCCCUUGAAUAAGCCACGGCUAACUACGUGCCAGCAGCCGCGGUAAUACGAAGGUGGCAAGCGUUGUCCGGAUUUACUGGGUGUAAAGGGCGUGCAGCCGGGAAGACAAGUCAGAUGUGAAAUCCCGCGGCUCAACCGCGGAACUGCAUUUGAAACUGUUUUUCUUGAGUAUCGGAGAGGUAAUCGGAAUUCCUAGUGUAGCGGUGAAAUGCGUAGAUAUUAGGAAGAACACCAGUGGCGAAGGCGGAUUACUGGACGACAACUGACGGUGAGGCGCGAAAGCGUGGGGAGCAAACAGG